AUGGAUUUAAUUUUAGAGUCCAAUAAAGUAAUCGUGUCAAGAUCUGGACAAUUUAUAGGAAAAGGCUAUGAGUGCGGAGGCUUGUUCCGCUUUUCCCUUUCAGAUUUUUGCAAUAAGUCAAAAAACCAAAUUUGUGCUAGUGUUAAUGAUGAUGCAAGUAUUUGGCACUCUCGUUUAUGUCAUAUUAAUUUUGGUUUAAUGUCUCGGCUAUCCAGCAUGAGUUUAAUUCCGAACUUCACAGUUGCCAAAGGUUCUAAGUGCCAUAGUUGUGUGCAAUCGAAGCAACCUCGAAAGCCUCAUAAGGCUGCCGAGGAGAGAAACUUGGCACCUCUAGAACUCAUACAUUCUGAUCUUUGUGAGAUGAAUGGUGUGUUGACAAAAGGUGGAAAGAGAUAUUUCAUCACUUUGACUGAUGAUGCGACUAGAUUUUGCUAUGUUUAUUUGUUGCAAACUAAAGAUGAAGCAUUAGAGUACUUUAAAAUCUAUAAAGCUGAAGUUGAAAAUCAACUAGAAAGAAAGAUCAAGCGUCUUAGAGUUCCCAACAAUAAUAAGGAGAAAACCCCUUAUGAGGAGUGGGUUGGGAGAAAACCAUCACUUUCUUAUUUGCGCACUUGGGGAUGUUUGGCAAAGGUCAAUAUUCCUAUUCCUAAGAAACGCAAACUUGGACCAAAGACAGUGGAUUGUGUCUUUCUAGGGUAUGCUCAACGGAGCAUUGCUUAUAGGUUUUUAGUGGUAAAAUCUAAAGUACCUGAUAUGCAUGUUGAUACUAUAAUGGAAUCUCGUGAUGCAACAUUUUUUGAGAACAUAUUUCCUAUGAAAGAUAUGCAUAGCAUUGCUAGGUUUUCUUCUGAGAUAAUUCCUGAAUCUAGUACAACUGAUGAAUAUUUCGAACAAUCACAUGAGGAAGUCCUUGAGAAGGAUAACAAUGAAGUUCCUAUAAGUAACAAGAGACAAAGGAUUGCAAAAUCCUUUGGUGAUGAUUUCAUUGUAUACCUUGUGGACGACACACCCAAGACGAUUGCAGAAGCAUAUGCAUCUCCGGAUGUAGAUGAUUGGAAAGAAGCUGUUCAUAAUGAGAGGGACUCAAUUCUUUCUAAUGGAACUUGGGAACUAACUGAUAGACCAUAUGGUUGUAAACCUGUGGGCUGUAAGUGGGUGUUCAAAAAGAAGCUAAAGCCUGAUGGUACUAUUGAUAAGUACAAGGCGCGGCUAGUGGCCAAGGGCUACACUCAGAAAGAAGGCGAAGAUUACUUUGACACCUAUUCACCCGUUGCUAGAAUGACCACCAUUCGAGUGUUACUUUCCUUGGCUGCCUCUUAUGGUCUUAUCAUUCAUCAAAUGGAUGUAAAGACAGCUUUUCUAAAUGGAGAGUUGGAAGAGGAGAUCUAUAUGGAUCAGCCUGACGGGUUUGUGGUAAAGGGUGAAGAGAGAAAGGUGUGCAAGUUGUUAAAAUCUUUGUAUGGUCUGAAACAGGCACCUAAGCAAUGGCAUGAGAAGUUUGAAAGAACUCUGACUUCUGCAGGAUUUGUCAUUAACGAGGCUGAUAGGUGUGUUUACUAUCGCCAUGGUGGGGGCAAUAGUGUCAUAUUAUGUUUGUAUGUGGACGACAUACUGAUCUUUGGUACAAACAUUAAUGCAAUUAAUGAGGUCAAGUCUUUUCUAUCAAAGAGUUUUGACAUGAAAGAUCUGGGAGAAGCCGAUGUAAUUCUAAACAUCAAACUUGUUAAGGAUGAGAGUGGGAUUACAUUAAUGCAAUCUCACUAUGUUGAGAAGGUCUUGAACCGAUUCGGUUUUAUGGAUAGCAAGCCUUCUCCAACACCUUAUGAUCCCAGCGUGACACUCAGAAAGAACAAGAAAGAAACGAGAGAUCAAUUAAGAUACUCUCAAAUUGUCGGUUCACACAUGUACUUAGCUAGCGCUACAAGACCAGAUAUCUCUUUUGCUGUGAGCAAACGGAGUAGGUUCAUGUCCAACCCGGGUGAUGAUCAUUGGCAUGCACUAGAAAGGGUCUUGCGCUAUCUGAGAGGUACUAUGAGUUACGGAAUUACUUAUUCAGGGCAUCCUGUUGUGCUAGAAGGAUAUAGUGAUUCAAAUUGGAUCUCUGAUGUUGAUGUACUCUAUGCAACAAGUGGGUAUGUAUUUACACAUGGUGGUGGCGCAGUGUCAUGGAGGUCUUGCAAGCAAACCAUAUUGACAAGGUCAACUAUGGAAGCAGAAUUAACUGCUUUGGACACAGCUACUGUUGAGGCAGAAUGGCUGCGUGAGCUCUUGAUAGACUUGCCGGUUGUUGAAAAACCUGUUCCGGCUAUUCUUAUGAAUUGUGAUAACCAAACACGUGAAGAGACGUUUGAAGUCUGUCAGGAAGUUGAGAAACUCCGGAGUAAUAACUGUUACGUAUAUACAAACAGACAAAAACCUGGCAGAUCCCUUUACAAAGGGACUAUCACGAAAUGUGAUAGAUAUUGCAUCGAGGGAGAUGGGUAUGAGACCCAUAGCAGUCUUGAAAGAACACACCUAUAUGAGUUCUAA
RNAcentral lists this ribosomal RNA (2529 nucleotides) under Triticum aestivum (bread wheat). Its description in RNAcentral is "partial small subunit ribosomal RNA". The record is from RNAcentral. Lineage: Eukaryota; Viridiplantae; Streptophyta; Magnoliopsida; Poales; Poaceae.